Molecule: ribosomal RNA, 440 nt
Filed under: uncultured bacterium
Lineage: Bacteria
Description: partial 16S ribosomal RNA
Rfam family: Bacterial small subunit ribosomal RNA
Source: RNAcentral
CCUACGGGAGGCAGCAGUAGGGAAUAUUGCUCAAUGGGGGAAACCCUGAAGCAGCAACGCCGCGUGGAGGAUGAAGGUUUUCGGAUUGUAAACUCCUUUUGUUAGAGAAGAAAAUGACGGUAUCUAACGAAUAAGCACCGGCUAACUCCGUGCCAGCAGCCGCGGUAAUACGGAGGGGGCAGGCGUUACUCGGAAUCACUGGGCGUAAAGGGCGCGUAGGCGGGAUAGCAAGUCAGAUGUGAAAUCCUAUGGCUUAACCAUAGAACUGCAGUUGAAACUGUUAUUCUAGAGUAUGGGAGAGGUAGGUGGAAUUCGUGGUGUAGGGGUAAAAUCCGUAGAGAUCAAGAGGAAUACUCAUUGCGAAGGCAGCCUGCUAGAACAUAACUGACGCUGAUGCGCGAAAGCGUGGGGAGCAAACAGGAUUAGAUACCCGAGUAGUC